CCCUUAGAUGUUCUGGGCCGCACGCGUGCUACACUGAGUGGAGCAGCGGGUCAGGUUGCGCGAAAGUGUUUCCUAAUCUUGAAAUCCGCUCGUGAUGGGGAUUGACGGUUGCAAUUUUCCGUCAUGAACGAGGAAUACCUUGUAAGCGCGGGUCAUCAUCCCGCGCUGAAUACGUCCCUGCCCUUUGUACACACCGCCCGUCGCUCCUACCGAUUGAGUGGUCCGGUGAGGCUUUGGGAUCUGAGCGGAAAGAGCGUUUCGCUGUUUCUGCUCGGAAAACUCAGUCGAACCUUAUCAUUUAGAGGAAGGAGAAGUCGUAACA
RNAcentral lists this ribosomal RNA (322 nucleotides) under uncultured eukaryote. RNAcentral describes it as "partial 18S ribosomal RNA". It matches the Rfam family "Eukaryotic small subunit ribosomal RNA", at positions 1470 to 1796 of the family's 1831-position model. The record is from RNAcentral.